CGGCAGCACAGGAGAGCUUGCUCUCUGGGUGGCGAGUGGCGGACGGGUGAGGAAUACAUCGGAAUCUACUUUUUCGUGGGGGAUAACGUAGGGAAACUUACGCUAAUACCGCAUACGACCUACGGGUGAAAGCAGGGGAUCUUCGGACCUUGCGCGAUUGAAUGAGCCGAUGUCGGAUUAGCUAGUUGGCGGGGUAAAGGCCCACCAAGGCGACGAUCCGUAGCUGGUCUGAGAGGAUGAUCAGCCACACUGGAACUGAGACACGGUCCAGACUCCUACGGGAGGCAGCAGUGGGGAAUAUUGGACAAUGGGCGCAAGCCUGAUCCAGCCAUACCGCGUGGGUGAAGAAGGCCUUCGGGUUGUAAAGCCCUUUUGUUGGGAAAGAAAUCCAGCUGGUUAAUACCCGGUUGGGAUGACGGUACCCAAAGAAUAAGCACCGGCUAACUUCGUGC
Molecule: ribosomal RNA, 452 nt
Filed under: Stenotrophomonas maltophilia
Lineage: Bacteria; Pseudomonadati; Pseudomonadota; Gammaproteobacteria; Lysobacterales; Lysobacteraceae
Description: bacterial SSU rRNA
Rfam family: Bacterial small subunit ribosomal RNA
Source: RNAcentral